RNAcentral lists this ribosomal RNA (474 nucleotides) under uncultured bacterium. RNAcentral's name for it is "partial 16S ribosomal RNA". It matches the Rfam family "Bacterial small subunit ribosomal RNA", at positions 28 to 507 of the family's 1533-position model. The record is from RNAcentral.
GACGAACGCUGGCGGCGUGCUUAACACAUGCAAGUCGAACGGUAAGGCCCUUCGGGGUACACGAGUGGCGAACGGGUGAGUAACACGUGGGUAAUCUGCCCUGCACAUCGGGAUAAGCCUGGGAAACUGGGUCUAAUACCGAAUAGGACCACAGGACACAUGUCCUGUGGUGGAAAGCUUUUGCGGUGUGGGAUGGGCCCGCGGCCUAUCAGCUUGUUGGUGGGGUGAUGGCCUACCAAGGCGACGACGGGUAGCCGGCCUGAGAGGGUGUCCGGCCACACUGGGACUGAGAUACGGCCCAGACUCCUAUGGGAGGCAGCAGUGGGGAAGAUUGCACAAUGGGCGAAAGCCUGAUGCAGCGACGCCGCGUGGGGGAUGACGGCCUUCGGGUUGUAAACCUCUUUCACCAUCGACGAAGGUCCGGGUUUUCUCGGGCUGACGGUAGGUGGAGAAGAAGCACCGGCCAACUACGUG